RNAcentral lists this ribosomal RNA (534 nucleotides) under Crocidura foxi (Fox's shrew). RNAcentral describes it as "partial large subunit ribosomal RNA". It matches the Rfam family "Bacterial large subunit ribosomal RNA", at positions 1816 to 2586 of the family's 2925-position model. The record is from RNAcentral. Lineage: Eukaryota; Metazoa; Chordata; Mammalia; Eulipotyphla; Soricidae.
CACCUCUAGCAUCACCAGUAUUAGAGGCACUGCCUGCCCAGUGACAUUAGUUAAACGGCCGCGGUAUCCUGACCGUGCAAAGGUAGCAUAAUCAUUUGUUCCUUAAUUAGGGACUUGUAUGAAUGGCCCCACGAGGGUUUAACUGUCUCUUACUUUCAAUCAGUGAAAUUGACCCUCCCGUGAAGAGGCGGGAAUAUAAAAAUAAGACGAGAAGACCCUAUGGAGCUUAAAUUAAUUUGCUCAACAAAAUUUAAAUUCAGCCCAACAGGAAUAAUUAUAAUUUAACUGAGCAAUAAAUUUUGGUUGGGGUGACCUCGGAGUAUAACAAAACCUCCGAGUGAUUACAACUAAGACAUACUUGUCAAAGUUACGUAACUUAUUGAUCCAAUCAUAUUGAUCAACGAAACAAGUUACCCUAGGGAUAACAGCGCAAUCCUAUUUGAGAGUUCAUAUCGACAAUAGGGUUUACGACCUCGAUGUUGGAUCAGGACACCCAAAUGGUGCAGCAGCUAUUAAAGGUUCGUUUGUUCAACG